RNAcentral lists this long non-coding RNA (1134 nucleotides) under Pongo abelii (Sumatran orangutan). RNAcentral describes it as "lincRNA". Lineage: Eukaryota; Metazoa; Chordata; Mammalia; Primates; Hominidae. The record is from RNAcentral.
ACCUCUAGCCAGGGACGCGCGCUCGGUCCCCCGCCGUGCGCCCCCGGUGCCGCGCCCAGGCUCCCGCCCCGGCCUCCUUACCAGCCACUUGUCUCCCAGCUGCGAACUGGAGCGGGAGGCGGCGGCCGGAGGGCCCAGGACAGCCCCGGGAGGGCGGCGAGGCGGAGCAGGAGCGCCCCGGCUCCGGCCACAUUCUCAGAGUCAGGAAAAGGGGCGAGAGGCCACAUCUCUCCCUCUCGCCAAACUGAAAACGAAACGGCGCUCCAGCAGAUUGGGUGGAAAGAGCUGUGUCUUGUUUUCUCUGUUUUUCACGCUAGAAAGGGCUUGUAAACAUUGUUUCUUUUAAAAUGACCUACCCCGGGAGGUUUGGGCACACUUCUGUCCUGGGGUCAUCGUUCCUAGGUGGCUUCGGACUUGGGACUUUGAUUUCCUGUAUCUGCACAUUGUCGUUUUAUACACAAUUGCCAAGGUGGAACUGAUUUCAGCUUUACUGAGCUUGAAGCUGCAAAGGUUCUGCCCUGACGUUUCCUGGAAUAAUGCUGAGGACUGCCUGUCGGGUAGCUGCCUUAUUCAGUUCACUUCAUCUCGGAAACACCUGACCCCUGCCUUGGAUCCAGCGGCCCUCCUGAGAGCUGAGGAAGGAGGAAAUCCUAUGUGUCUGCUCCCAGAGCUGCCACAACCCAUCUUCCCACAACUCGGAACUUGGAAAAAGGAACCCAGGACACGACUUUGCUUUUCUUUUGGACCUAGUUGGUGAUUAUACCCGGUCUCCCAUGGAGACCAUGUCUUGCAUCCUUCCUUCUGUAUGGGAUUUAGGAUAGAAAUUAAAAAGAAAACAUCUUAUUUUGAGUCUUGAUUUGGAGAAAGGUAGUAUUUAGGGAGAAGUAGGCUAUGAUACACAUAGAAAAUUUGAGGACAGUGUUACUUAACAAGGACAUUUCUGUCUCUGCAGAAGUCACAGCUUGGAGGAAACCAGUUUGCACUAUUUGAUGAGGAAUUUGGCCACCAAACCACUGAUACUUUCCCAAAGGUUUGGCAGAAAUUGUUUUUUGAGUGGCUCACCAGAGUCCCUAGAAGAAUCAGCAUGGAAUUAGAGGACAGUGGCCUACCCUAACUAAAGACAUGAGUGACGUG